Molecule: regulatory RNA element, 153 nt
Organism: Paenibacillus wynnii
Lineage: Bacteria; Bacillati; Bacillota; Bacilli; Caryophanales; Paenibacillaceae
Rfam family: Ribosomal protein L10 leader
About the family: This family is a putative r-protein leader autoregulatory structure found in B. subtilis and other low-GC Gram-positive bacteria. It is located in the 5' untranslated regions of mRNAs encoding ribosomal proteins L10 and L12 (rplJ-rplL). A Rho-independent transcription terminator structure that is probably involved in regulation is included at the 3' end.
Source: Rfam
UUAACUUGAAUAUGCUUACCGUAGACAGUAGGUGCCCUAAGGCUUAAUUUCCUACCGAGGUGUUGUGAUAGAAACAAGAUGCUACUGGGUUCGCCCGUGCAACUAACGUUUAUCAAGCCUUCGUGAUUCUGCGGAGGCUUUUCUAAUGCCUGC